GAGAAAGAGGUGGAGAAAUACUAAAUAUAAAUUUCAGCUUCAGAAUCAAUGAAGCAGUGCUGACUAUAGUCCCACCUCUUCUAUUGUGUUUUUUUCAGUGAAACACUGACCAACUGCCACAUGAAGAAACAGUGAUAGAUUAAACUUAAUACCAGACAAGCGGGGAUCUGGUUAGGGCAAGGAGUAAACUGUAGCAGAAGCUCUUGGUGCCCCAUCCAUAUCUCUACAGCCCUUAUCAUUUAAGUGCAUAAUAAUUAGUAAUUACUUUGGAGGGCAGGUACAGAUAAAAAGGCAUAAUGAGGGCUUUUGGUGGGUUGAAAAUGUUCUCUUUUUAGAUCCAGGUAUUGGUUGCACAGGGGUGUUCAGUUUGUGAAAAUUUAAUAAACUUAUGUGCAUGUGUGUGUCUGUACAAAAUUAAGGAAAGCAGAAUGGAGUUAAAAUCAGAAAUAUUGUUCUAGAAGUUAUCAGGUUUAACCAGGUUUUACAAACAGCCAAUUUUGUUAUUUAAAUAAUCAAAAUAUUUCCUUUAACAUUUAUCAUGAUUUCAACUGAAAUACUUUAUUACAGCCAGGAAACUGAUUUCUAUUGUAUCAUUAUUUCUUAGGUAGUUCUGUUGUAUUUAAAACUCUAAUGUCCAUACAAUAGCGUCAGAAUGCUUUUUUUUAAAACUCAGUUAAAAUGCAUGCCAGGCUUGACAGGUUAUGAUUCAAAACAUUAAAUGUAUCCUUCAAAUUAAUUUCUGUGAUAUUACUUUGAAAUGCUUUAAAACUGGCUUUCGACUUUUUAAUUUCAUUACAUAAAUCAAAACAGUCAAUAUUUCUUGGAUACUUACAUUCUCAUUAUAUCCCCUUUCUUCUUCCUUCUUCUUUGGACUAUUUUUUUUAAUUCAGAAAAAAAAAAAUCUUAUCUUUAUACCUUAACAUCAGAUGGUAAACCAUUUUAUUUAAUAUUCAGCCUGGUUAGAGAUUUGAAUGGCUAUAAUAGUUGGGGAGAGGUGGUAAUAGUAGAGACUGGAAGAUGCCUUUUUUCAGUUUAAUAUCAAGGUCAUGUUGUUAUUAUCAAACUUGGUUGCAUAAGGCAAUUUUUUAUGUUCAUAAACUCUAUUUUGAUAAAUCGAUCCACUCAUUCAACAUUUAUAGAAACAAAACUAUUACAACCAAAUAGGUGGAUCCUGCUCUCAGAGAACUCAUUGUCUAGCUACAUUUUGGGAUAGUGUGUCCUGAACCCCAUUAGGGUGUAGCAUAAGCUUGACAAAGGUAAUCUAACCAGCCUUAUUUUUCUAUUCUCGGUCAAUAUUCUGUCUCUAUACACAGACUAAAGAUAAGUAUGGAAUGAGAGUUCCUACAUAUAGGUUAUAUGGUAAAAUUUGUGGAAUAUGCAAAGAGAUAAAUGAGAUGUAUUUGCUUUACAGCAUUCACCAGGGCUUAGAAGACCCUGUGGCACCUGAAAGUGAAUGUGCAAUUGGAUUGGAGUUAUGCUGCAACAAUUAGCUGCUCAAUUGUGUGUUUAUUACAUAUACCAAGAUCACUUAAAUAACACUACAGGUCUUCCUCAAUGGUGAUUUUUAUUCUGAUGGAGAAGACAUGCCUGAAGUGUAUUGAGCAGAAGAGUGACAAGAUCUGACUAACCUGGUAAGAUUACUCUGGCUGUUGUUUUGAGAAUACUUGGAGCGGAGAUAAGUAGUGAAGCUGAUAUAUCAACUUAUAAGCUUUUUACUAAUCCAGGUAAGAGAUGAAGGUAGCUUGAUCUGCAGUGGUGGCAGUACAGAUGAGAAGAAGUGGUUAAAUUUUGUAUAUAACUUGAAGACAAAGUGGGCAAGAUGAUCUGAGUGAUUGGACUGGGAGUGUGAGAGGCAGAAAGGGGUCAAUGAUGACUCCAAGGUUUUAUAUGAACAAUUGGAAAAAUAUUACGUUCUUUUUGUCUUUUUCUCCUUUUCCUUUUUCUUUCUUAUAGUUUGAGGCUUAUCGUUUGACAACAACAAAUGAUCAGUUUAUCUUCUAGAAAGUAGAUUGUCAACAAUUUAUAAAUGAAGAGUCUGCUAGUCAGUGAUAAGCAAAGGACUCUGUGUGGGAACUGGAGGGAAGAAAGACCCUCAAUCAUGUUCUAAGGCCAGUAUUUAAGAAAUAUUCAUAAAUAUGUUUUAAAAAAUUUUCCAGGAGUCAAAUGAUACAAUGUUAAUGGAAGGAAUUCAUUCUUUGUCUGCUCAAAAAUCCAUUUGACAAUACUUCUGUCUAUAUUCAGGCUCCAGUUUUUGUAGGUUAAAUUGUAACAACAUUUGUUGGCAUACUCAUUCUCCAAACACCAUUCUUAGUACUCUAUUGGGUGUAGUAGAUCGCCCAGGGUCUCCAGCUUGCAGGCAGACCACUGUGGGACUUCUUAGCCUCCAGAACUGGUAUAAGCCAGUUUCCCUAAUUCAUCUUCUCUCAAAUAUCUAUCCAUCUCUCUGUAUAUAUCCUACUGUUUCUAUCUUUCUGAAGAACCCUAAUGCUUGUUCCUUGUGUAUUAAUAUGUAUUAGUAUGUAUUAUUACUCAUACAUGCUCCAGGUUUAGUAUGUUUUUUUAUUUAAAAAAAUUCAUAAGAUUGAAGGCUGCAUUAUUGAUUUGCCAUCUUUCUUCUUUUUAAAAAUAGGCCUGUAAAAUCUCCUUCUGAGCACUGCUUCAGCUGCAUUCUAUAAAUUUUUGUAUAAUUUGUUUUCAUUUUCAUUUAUAAUUUCAUUGAAAACAAAAACAAAACACAUCAUAUAGUAUAACCAUUCCAACUCUCUUUUGGGCAUUUUAUGAAUGGUACAUCUUUUUUAAUCCUUACUUAUUUGUGUCUUUGAAAGUAAAUUUUGUUUCAUUUAUCCAACAUCUAGUUGGAUCAUAUGUUUUUUAAACUAAUCUUCCAAUCUCUG
Molecule: long non-coding RNA, 2894 nt
Filed under: Homo sapiens (human)
Lineage: Eukaryota; Metazoa; Chordata; Mammalia; Primates; Hominidae
Description: HSALNT0301656
Source: RNAcentral